Molecule: ribosomal RNA, 798 nt
Filed under: uncultured Rhizophagus
Lineage: Eukaryota; Fungi; Glomeromycota; Glomeromycetes; Glomerales; Glomeraceae
Description: SSU rRNA
Rfam family: Eukaryotic small subunit ribosomal RNA
Source: RNAcentral
AUCAACUUUCGAUGGUAGGAUAGAGGCCUACCAUGGUGGUAACGGGUAACGGGGUGUUAGGGCACGACACCGGAGAGGGAGCCUGAGAAACGGCUACCACAUCCAAGGAUGGCAGCAGGCGCGCAAAUUACCCAAUCCCGACACGGGGAGGUAGUGACAAUAAAUAACAAUACGGGGUUCUUUAGGAUCUCGUAAUUGGAAUGAGUACAAUUUAAAUCUCUUAACGAGGAACAAUUGGAGGGCAAGUCUGGUGCCAGCAGCCGCGGUAAUUCCAGCUCCAAUAGCGUAUAUUAAAGUUGUUGCAGUUAAAAAGCUCGUAGUUGAAUUUCGGGGUCAGUAGGUUGGUCGUGCCACCGGCACGUACUGGUCUCACUGAUUCCUCCUUCCUGAUGAGCUGUAAUGCCAUUAAUUUGGUGUUGCAGGGAAUCUGGACUGUUACUUUGAAAAAAUUAGAGUGUUUAAAGCAGGCUAACGCUUGAAUACAUUAGCAUGGAAUAAUGAAAUAGGACGUUCGAUCCUAUUUUGUUGGUUUCUAGGAUUGACGUAAUGAUUAAUAGGGAUAGUUGGGGGCAUUAGUAUUCAAUUGUCAGAGGUGAAAUUCUUGGAUUUAUUGAAGACUAACUACUGCGAAAGCAUUUGCCAAGGAUGUUUUCAUUAAUCAAGAACGAAAGUUAGGGGAUCGAAGACGAUCAGAUACCGUCGUAGUCUUAACCAUAAACUAUGCCGACUAGGGAUCGGAUGAGUUAAUUUUUUAAUGACUCAUUCGGCGCCUUACGGGAAACCAAAGUGUUUGGGUUC